CGAACGAUGAACCGCUUUCGGGCGGGGAUUAGUGGCGAACGGGUGAGUAACACGUGGGCAAUCUGCCCUGCACUCUGGGACAAGCCCUGGAAACGGGGUCUAAUACCGGAUAUGACUGUCCGCCGCAUGGUGGAUGGUGUAAAGCUCCGGCGGUGCAGGAUGAGCCCGCGGCCUAUCAGCUUGUUGGUGAGGUAGUGGCUCACCAAGGCGACGACGGGUAGCCGGCCUGAGAGGGCGACCGGCCACACUGGGACUGAGACACGGCCCAGACUCCUACGGGAGGCAGCAGUGGGGAAUAUUGCACAAUGGGCGAAAGCCUGAUGCAGCGACGCCGCGUGAGGGAUGACGGCCUUCGGGUUGUAAACCUCUUUCAGCAGGGAAGAAGCGAAAGUGACGGUACCUGCAGAAGAAGCGCCGGCUAACUACGUGCCAGCAGCCGCGGUAAUACGUAGGGCGCAAGCGUUGUCCGGAAUUAUUGGGCGUAAAGAGCUCGUAGGCGGCUUGUCACGUCGGUUGUGAAAGCCCGGGGCUUAACCCCGGGUCUGCAGUCGAUACGGGCAGGCUAGAGUUCGGUAGGGGAGAUCGGAAUUCCUGGUGUAGCGGUGAAAUGCGCAGAUAUCAGGAGGAACACCGGUGGCGAAGGCGGAUCUCUGGGCCGAUACUGACGCUGAGGAGCGAAAGCGUGGGGAGCGAACAGGAUUAGAUACCCUGGUAGUCCACGCCGU
Molecule: ribosomal RNA, 725 nt
Filed under: Streptomyces sp.
Lineage: Bacteria; Bacillati; Actinomycetota; Actinomycetes; Kitasatosporales; Streptomycetaceae
Description: bacterial SSU rRNA
Rfam family: Bacterial small subunit ribosomal RNA
Source: RNAcentral